UCCACUGUUGAUAGAACUAAAUCUUCAGAGGUUUUGGUGAAUGAUCUGUGAAUGAAUGUAAGUGCUGUCUUUUACAAGAGUACUUGAUGUCAUCAUGGGUGGUAACAGACCAUUAACAGUUCUGCGAAAAAUGUGAUGGAAAUAAGUGAUAGCUAGAUAAUAUGUGAUCAGAGCCUUAUUUAAGGAAAACUGCACACACACAAAGCCAGUAGCUUGGCUUUUUCUGAACAGAACACCUGAAAGCAAUACUGAGCUCUCUGGCCUCGAAUUGCACAAACUCCUGACCUGGACUCUGGAUUACCAGCAGCAAAUGGAUAUAAUGAACACCACUAUAUAGUGUGACACACAGAUUUCUCAUCAUGUUAUUCUAACAUAUUUUCAUCCAUUUCAGCACAUGGAAGGCAAUUCAUUAAAAUUGAAGGAAGACAGGAAGUGGCAUGGCCCUUUACCCCACAGGUUCUUUUGCGCAGAAAGGCAGAGCAGGAGUCUGGUUUCCUUGUCAUGCAUUCAAAAGGUCAUAUUUUCUUUCCAGCAGUAAAUGACUGAUGUUGGCCUCAAUGCAGUCAGCAUGGCACAACAUAUGCUGAAAAAUAGAAUUUGAGCUAUAAGGACAGAGAAAAAAAGCAUUUGACAAGACUUUAAGCAUGAACUGAGAUUGUCAAGAUGCCUUUUUGGAGUCAAGAAUGAUUGAAAAUGUUUAUUCUCAAUAGAUAAAAUAUUUGAAGUUCGUUGAAAUUGCAAGAAAUAAAUUAUGACUGCAAAGCUUUUGCAUCUUCUAACAGAGGUCAAUCUUCUCUGCCUUCUUUGAAAAGCCUUUUAGCCUUGAUAAAAAGCUAAUAAAUCUAAUAGAGGGGGCAACUCCUCAGCAUCUAUGUACACCUAGAAUUGCGUACAGUUUUCACAAAAGGUUCUGUUUUGGUGAUAGGAGAAUCAGACCAUGAGAUGUUCUUUAACACAUCCUACACAUUCUCAAUGGGAUUUAUUUUCUGGACUCUAUUGUGGACAGUCAGUGUAGUGAAAGCAGUGUCUCGUGGUUUCUGAACAACUCUUUCACAAUUCAAGCCCACUAAAUCCUGGCAUUGUCUGCUAAAGUGAGAUGGUUGCUUAAGAAGUGAGAAGCUGCUCACUGAGUUACUUAGUGUUAUUUAACUUGCUGCCAGCUGCUCUGAAUCAAUGCAGUACUUUUCCAAUUAAAGUCUCCUACCUACUAGUGCAGUCAAGGUUUUUAACUUUUUUUAAUCCUUACAAUAUGUUUUGCUAUUAACUCAAAAGGGACACCCAGAUAAAAUCAUUAGUUGUGUAUUAAAACUCUUUUUCUUUUCUUUUAAUUCUAAUCUACAAGGUUAACGAUUAAUAACAACAGUUUAGUUUGGUUUUACAUAAGCUGUGAAUAAUAGUAAAAUGCAUCUCAGCCUUGAGCUAAACUGGAAAAGUACUGAACAGAGCAUGAGAAACAAAGGACAGGUUCUGAAAUGCAAAUGCCUUGACUUUCCUGAUCAGGUAGAGUUUUUCUAGUUGGGCUGGAUGAGGGCAGGUCAGUGUUACACACAGUGUCCGGUUGCAGGUACAAACAAAUUUAGUGCCUCUGUGCACUUUGACACGCAAAUGUCACAUAAGGUCUGCUGGUUAAACAUUUAUUAAGUUUCCAUGUGCACGAUUAAAACUGUGAAGCUUUUCUGGUGAAGAAUAGAAUUUAAACACAGAAAUUUGUACAAAAGGGUGAGGUAAAGGGUGGAUGUGAUCAAAAUCUAGAGUUAUGGCCUACAUGUAUUCUACAUUUGGAUGAAAAUUAAAAUGGCAUGUCACCAUGAGAACACCAUGCCCUCAGUGAAACAUGGUAGUGGCAGCAUAAUGCUGUAGGGAUGGUUCUUCGGCAGGAACAUCUGACAAAGGAAUUAUUCCUUAACAAAGAUAAAUGACAAAAGUUUCAGUCUAGAUAAAUAAAGAUGGCAGAGAUGUGCACCAAAUGACAGGGUAAGGCUUAACACAGAUUUACACCACACUAUUCAGAUUACAAUAACAUGUAUCCUUUCCUUUCACUUCAAAAUAUUUGCUACUUUGUGUUGGCCUAGCAUAUAGAACCCUCUAAGAAACAAUAACAUUUGUGGAUUUACCUUGACAAAAUGUGGGAAAGUUCAAUGGAUGCGAUUAUUUUUCAGGGAGAUGGUAAGAGAUAAAACUGGGAUUGCUUAGUGGAGCUCAUUUGAAUCCUUGCAUUAACUUGAAUCUGCUUAUGACUGGCAGGGACAAUGUCCUCGGAGCCUGGUGCUACAUGGAUAGAGCAGAUGGUGGGUGCAGUAGCUGGCAGGGCCUUUGUGUAUGGUCUUAUUCUAGAAACAACACAUUUGCUGGGUGUUAACAAGCAACAAGUGAAUCCAAUUUUUCAGACUCAUGCUUUUUCUGAUAAAUUACAUUUAAUGCUCGGACUGGGUGGAAUUUGGGGAUAAUGCAGUCAGUCUAAUCUGGUUAUGUGGAAGGGUCGUGUUGUAGCAUGUAAGACUGCCUUACUUGCUGACAACUGGUGAUUUACUAAUAACUGUGAAUUAUUGAGGUCUGUACUGGUGUGCAGCAGAGGCAGGCCUUCUUUUAUCAAAGACUUUCAUAGGAUGAAAGCAUGUGCUGACCUCUGCAGUAACUUAUGUAGUGAAUCAGGCAGAUAAAUAAAGUCAAUUCGUUGCAGGCUUUGCACCACUGGUGCUUAAUCUGUUAGGUUUUUUUUCUAUGCAUCUCAUGAAGUCCAAGAAAACAUCCAGAUCACAACUGACUUUGAUAAAAGAGCCCAUUGACAUUUUUUUUUUUUCUUUCUUAGAUGGAGUCCCACCUGCAUUGAUAAAAUUCAGUAUCUUGACAGGAACAUGCCUCUAAUCAUUGGGCUCCCUGCAGGGGUGGGACGCCUUAUUGAGAUCAACAAGGCAGGAAGUGGAAUCAACUCAUCUCUGUCCUUUGGCCCAGUAGUUCAUUGUGCUGAAAAUGAGAACUAGCAAGCUAUUUCAUUUGUACAUAUUGGAUGUGCCUGUCCUGUUGUUUGGUUUUUCAGGUGUACUGGAAAGAGUCGCUGAGUGAUACCAGGACAUCUGUAUAAUUACCUGCUGUCAACUGAAGAUGAGCUCUUCUGUUCUAUUGUGCUGUGUUACAAUACAGAGAAAAUAAACGGAACCAUUUCUAGAGCAUGCUAAGUGUAUAAUGUGGUAAAAAAAAAAAAAAAGAGCUGGUCUGAGAGGUAGAAAUAUGGACAGAAAAGUAGCAAAUAAAAUAUUUCUCCCCA
Molecule: long non-coding RNA, 3265 nt
Organism: Xiphophorus hellerii (green swordtail)
Lineage: Eukaryota; Metazoa; Chordata; Actinopteri; Cyprinodontiformes; Poeciliidae
Exons: 3
Source: RefSeq, a predicted model, not a curated record